RNAcentral lists this ribosomal RNA (758 nucleotides) under uncultured Neisseriaceae bacterium. RNAcentral's name for it is "bacterial SSU rRNA". It matches the Rfam family "Bacterial small subunit ribosomal RNA", at positions 28 to 776 of the family's 1533-position model. The record is from RNAcentral. Lineage: Bacteria; Pseudomonadati; Pseudomonadota; Betaproteobacteria; Neisseriales; Neisseriaceae.
AUUGAACGCGGCGGCAUGCUUUACACAUGCAAGUCGGACGGCAGCAUAAAAGAGCUUGCUCUUUUGAUGGCGAGUGGCGAACGGGUGAGUAAUGCAUCGGAACGUACCGAGUAGUGGGGGAUAACUGUCCGAAAGGAUGGCUAAUACCGCAUAUUCUCUGAGGAGGAAAGCAGGGGACCUUAGGGCCUUGCGCUAUUUGAGCGGCCGAUGUCUGAUUAGCUAGUUGGUGGGGUAAGAGCCCACCAAGGCGACGAUCAGUAGCGGGUCUGAGAGGAUGAUCCGCCACACUGGGACUGAGACACGGCCCAGACUCCUACGGGAGGCAGCAGUGGGGAAUUUUGGACAAUGGGCGCAAGCCUGAUCCAGCCAUGCCGCGUGUAUGAAGAAGGCCUUCGGGUUGUAAAGUACUUUUGUCAGGGAAGAAAAGCCUGAGGAUAACACCCUCAGGUCAUGACGGUACCUGAAGAAUAAGCACCGGCUAACUACGUGCCAGCAGCCGCGGUAAUACGUAGGGUGCGAGCGUUAAUCGGAAUUACUGGGCGUAAAGCGAGCGCAGACGGUUAUUUAAGCAAGAUGUGAAAGCCCCGGGCUCAACCUGGGAACUGCGUUUUGAACUGGGUAACUAGAGUGUGUCAGAGGGGGGUAGAAUUCCACGUGUAGCAGUGAAAUGCGUAGAGAUGUGGAGGAAUACCGAUGGCGAAGGCAGCCCCCUGGGAUAACACUGACGUUCAUGCUCGAAAGCGUGGGUAGCAAACAGG